Molecule: long non-coding RNA, 2423 nt
Organism: Parus major (Great Tit)
Lineage: Eukaryota; Metazoa; Chordata; Aves; Passeriformes; Paridae
Exons: 2
Source: RefSeq, a predicted model, not a curated record
CCAGUGUAUUUCAAGAGAGCAGAAAGUAUUUGCUAAAAAUAUUUAUGCAGAAGUUAUUUAUGGCCUGGCCCACAUCAACCCCGUGGCAGCCGUUACACAACGCUCACAAAGGAGCCCUUAUCUGGAGGAGCACACAGCCAGUUUUGCAGUCCACAAGUCACCAAGACGCAAUUCUAGUGGCUUUUCAAUCAAAUCAGGAACUUGAGGCCUGGAUGUUCAAUUUAGAUGUCAAGUCUUGUCAAGCAGGCUCUGCCAAGCUGCUUUCUCAUGCUUCCCAGUUUGAAGGGGACUCUGGUAGAGGGGAUCAGAAAAUGCUGCACCAUUUCAAGGAAUGACAGCUUUUCCUCAAAAAGCUGGAGGUAGGCAAAGCAGAUCUCUUUCGAUGGAAUUUGGUUCAAGAUUAGAAUUAUUUUCUCUCUCUGCUUACUGUAGAAAACUUCUCAAUGGCCUAUAGAAGGGAAAGGAGACUUGCUGCUUGGCUGACACUGGGCACAUACCCACAAGGCUGGGCACAAGAUUUAAUUCACAAAUGCACUCUACUGCUACAGCAAGAAUUUAGUCAAGGUAGCUUUUGGUUAGAACCCUAAGAAAGGUAUGGUGAAUUUAUAAAACCCUUAAUUUUUUAAAAAAAUUACUCAAAAUUCAAUGUAAGUGAGAUCCAGCUUUUUGUCCUGGACUAUCUCCACCUUCAUAUAGUUUGUUGUUGUUUUUUGUUGGGUUUUUCUUUUUUUUUUAAACAGCUACAUUUAUGAUCUGCAAUGGCCUCAUGGGUGCUGAUCUUUAAAGGUCUGUACUAAAACUCCCAGCUUCAUCUGUUGUUAUGGGGACAUGAGACAUGAGCUUGUGCAGGUAAGAAAGCAGGAGAUGCUCUUGAUAUAAUGAAACUGGUGGGAUGCAAAUGUACCAGAGGAAUGACAGGAAUAUCAGCACUUCCCUGCGCAGCUGCUCAGUGCCAUGAGUUCAAAGUGACUACAGCCCAAUUCCUUAGUUAACUUAUGAGAGGAAAAAUAAUUGAAAGCCAGGAUCUCAAAUUAGGAUCACACACAUUGGUUCCCUCUUCUCCAUCAGGUCACGAACCUCAAGGAAUUCAGGUUGAUUUGACAUGCUUGUUUUCAUCAAACCCCUGGUGCCAGGUCCUUAUGGCUUCAUUAUCCACUGAGUACUAAUGAUGGGAUGCUCUGUAACCACUUUCAUGCCCUGGAUCUUGGAAAGGCUAAUCCCAGAGCCUCUCUUUGCCCUCUUCUUAAGAUAAGUAUUUUUCUUGUCCUUUUCCAUUCCUUUGAGACCUCUGAUGCUGUCUUUGCUUCCUCAAAUGCAAUCACUAAUUGUUCAGAGGUUUAAUUAAGCUAAUUCUUUCUACAAGCACUCCAGGGGGAAUUUCAGCAGAGGUUGCCAGUUUGAAUACAUGGAGUUUUUUAAAGUCUGGAUAUUUCUUGAAAUCAUUCUUUCACUAUGCUCCUUCACAGUAACCUAUUCCAUUACACAAUUUGCCCUGCUGGAAUUUACUUGUUUGUGAAAAAUAGAACAGGAUUAAUUUUGAGUCCUCCAGUUUUAACAUUUUUUUUUUCUCAGAUGUUUGCUCUUUUCCCCCAUAAAGCAGUAAGUCAGUAGCAUCUUUUGUCACAGCCUAUUCCUCUUUCCCUUGCACCUCCAGCUCCCUCCUAUUGGAUGACCAGGCCAAAGUUUUGCCUUCUCAGGACUCCCAAGAAAAAAAAAGAGGGACACAAAGAAAUCUUCAGAGUCAGAGAAUCAGGUGGGAUGUACAUGCUGAUAACACCUGUCUACUCUUGGAAAACCUUCAUGGGACUGCAAGACUUUUUCAGCAGAACUUGAGUACAGGUGGACAGCUCUGAAGAAGAUUUGUGCCCUCUUAUGCAUCUACUAAUUUAGUGUAGUCAGAUCUGCCUUGAGUAGAUUUCAGCAGUGUGACUAAAGUUGUCUCUGUGUGUUACCUGGGUUUUCCAGGCUGAGGGGAAUGGCAUCCUUGGAGCUCCCCAAGGAACCUCAGUGCUGCCUCAGCUGUGUCCAAGUCUACCCUGUGGUUCUGCAGAGCUGGAGCUGCCUGGCAAUAUCCAUGCUUUUCCCACAAAGGACACAUCUCUGCAUGAAAUGGGCAUGAAACUGGCUUACUCAGGCACUACUGGAAACCAAGCUGUGGAUGGCAAGAAUUAAAGAAGAGGAAGAAAACCAAACAACAAAGCCCCAAAAAAUAAAACCAUGAAAUGCAUUUACUUUGGAUGUCAAGUUCUCAGCAAAAAUUUUCCUGGUCUUUGGCUCUGCUCCUCUUAGUUCAUCCUGUUUGCUAAUGCAAAUGUAGUUACAGAUGAUCUUCAGUUAAUUUGAAGGCUUCAUGGCUAAGCACUUUCAGCAUAACCAUAAAGUAAAUGUACAAAAUUAAAUGAGUCCAGCUGUGUUGUGUGUUA